RNAcentral lists this ribosomal RNA (392 nucleotides) under uncultured Gammaproteobacteria bacterium. RNAcentral's name for it is "bacterial SSU rRNA". It matches the Rfam family "Bacterial small subunit ribosomal RNA", at positions 370 to 779 of the family's 1533-position model. Lineage: Bacteria; Pseudomonadati; Pseudomonadota; Gammaproteobacteria. The record is from RNAcentral.
AAUGGAGGAAACUCUGAUGCAGCGAUGCCGCGUGAGUGAAGAAGGCCCUUGGGUUGUAAAGCUCUUUCGUCGGGGAAGAAAAUGACUGUACCCGAAUAAGAAGGUCCGGCUAACUUCGUGCCAGCAGCCGCGGUAAUACGAAGGGACCUAGCGUAGUUCGGAAUUACUGGGCUUAAAGAGUUCGUAGGUGGUUGAAAAAGUUGGUGGUGAAAUCCCAGAGCUUAACUCUGGAACUGCCAUCAAAACUUUCCAGCUAGAGUAUGAUAGAGGAAAGCAGAAUUUCUAGUGUAGAGGUGAAAUUCGUAGAUAUUAGAAAGAAUACCAAUUGCGAAGGCAGCUUUCUGGAUCAUUACUGACACUGAGGAACGAAAGCAUGGGUAGCGAAGAGGAUU